Molecule: ribosomal RNA, 499 nt
Filed under: uncultured bacterium
Lineage: Bacteria
Description: partial 16S ribosomal RNA
Rfam family: Bacterial small subunit ribosomal RNA
Source: RNAcentral
ACUCAAAGGAAUUGACGGGGGCCCGCACAAGCGGUGGAGCAUGUGGUUCAAUUCGACGCAACGCGAAGAACCUUACCUGGGCUCGAACGGCUUCUCAACGUUCGUGGAAACACGGAUAUCCCGCAAGGGAGUGGAGUCGAGGUGCUGCAUGGCUGUCGUCAGCUCGUGUCGUGAGAUGUUGGGUUAAGUCCCGCAACGAGCGCAACCCUUGCCCUGUUUUGCCAUCAUUAAGUUGGGAACUAUCAGGGGACCGCCAGCGAUAAGUUGGAGGAAGGUGGGGAUGACGUCAAGUCAUCAUGGCCUUUAUGUCCAGGGCUACACACGUGCUACAAUGGACGGUACAAAGCGCUGCGAAGCCGCGAGGUGGAGCUAAUCGCAAAAAACCGUUCUCAGUUCGGAUCGCAGGCUGCAACUCGCCUGCGUGAAGCUGGAAUCGCUAGUAAUGGCAGAUCAGCACGCUGCCGUGAAUACGUUCCCGGGCCUUGUACACACCGCCCGU